Molecule: ribosomal RNA, 468 nt
Filed under: uncultured bacterium
Lineage: Bacteria
Description: partial 16S ribosomal RNA
Rfam family: Bacterial small subunit ribosomal RNA
Source: RNAcentral
GACGAACGCUGGCGGCGUGCUUAACACAUGCAAGUCGAACGGAAAGGCCCUGCUUUUGUGGGGUGCUCGAGUGGCGAACGGGUGAGUAACACGUGAGUAACCUGCCCUUGACUUUGGGAUAACUUCAGGAAACUGGGGCUAAUACCGGAUAGGAGCUCCUGCUGCAUGGUGGGGGCUGGAAAGUUUCGGCGGUUGGGGAUGGACUCGCGGCCUAUCAGCGUGUUGGUGGGGUAGUGGCUUACCGAGGCUUUGACGGGUAGCCGGCCUGAGAGGGUGACCGGCCACAUUGGGACUGAGAUACGGCCCAGACUCCUACGGGAGGCAGCAGUGGGGAAUAUUGCACAAUGGGCGGAGGCCUGAUGCAGCAACGCCGCGUGCGGGAUGACGGCCUUCGGGUUGUAAACCGCUUUCGCCUGUGACGAAGCGUGAGUGACGGUAAUGGGUAAAGAAGCACCGGCUAACUACGUG